Cygnus atratus (black swan) is the source of this 1268-nucleotide long non-coding RNA. RefSeq lists it as uncharacterized. Lineage: Eukaryota; Metazoa; Chordata; Aves; Anseriformes; Anatidae. The record is from RefSeq and is a predicted model, not a curated record. The transcript is spliced from 7 exons.
AGAGCACACAUUAAUUUGCCUCCCGGAGUGUAAAGACAUCAAAGCGAAGACAGGGAACCUAAGGUUGAGGAUUCCAAACUGCCUUUCAGUGAAAGGUGCUGUAAAGAGGAAGAUAUAAAGAGGAAGAUGUGCCUGCGUUAUCUCCAUUGGUGUUUGGAGUGGGGUGAAGCAGAAGAUAGGAGCAGGUUCAACAGGGAGAAUGUAGCCUUUUGAGACCACGACUUGGAGAAGUAGGACCUAUUUCCAGCUUUGUCAAGCACUGUGAUCAUGAAAAGCUCCUGAGUUGUACCAGUGAUUAACUGGUAUGUUGAAGGAUUUGAAAACUUCACCUGGAGCAGAGAAGCAGGUCUUUUGUUGAAAAGAAUGACUUUGGAAAAACUGAAUGCUUCUACAGAGGAGUGGGACUGAGAGGCAGAGAUUUCCAUUUUUCCCCCACUAUUUGGAAAGGGUUGCAAGGGGCUGUGGCUUCCAUGAGAAGAGAGCUAAGAACCUGGACAUCACUUAAGAUAGGGCUGAUAUCCAAACCAAGCAACUGAAAUAAAACAUGGCUUCCUUCCCCGAGAUGGUUUCAUAGCCCAGCUCUCCAGCUUUCUCUCCUACCACAAACAUGCAACACAAUUGUGCAACAGCCUAGGAAGGAAUGGUGAGAUCAGAGCCGUGACUGCAGACAUCCUGACAUGGGGAUCUGGCAGCUAUUCAACACAAACACAAUUAGAAGACUUACCCUUGCGUGAAGUAUUUGCUUUCUUGAUAGUCACCAGCCUUAACCUCUAGGAAUGCUUACGAAUCAGAUAGCGUUCCUUGAGGAGGGCGAGCCUUUUCAAGCUCGUCUGUCUUGCUUUAGCCAAGACAGACAUAAAGAAGAAAAAUUCCACUGCAUCAUGCAACUUCUCCAAGUGAAAGCGCUUCAGAGGACAGAAGAGUUGUGGUCUCAAAUCUCUGCCAAGGAUUCAAGAACCAAAGAUCACAUGUUACUUGUUUCUCUCUCCCUCCAUUAUGAUCAGCAGGAAAAAAAUAACAGCAUAACAGACAAACCUUGACAUUCACAGCAAACAUGAAAGUAGGGGACUCCCUAAGUCCUGCUCAUUGGCUUUAUGUUACAGGAGGCUUCUCUGGCAAUGGCGAUACCAUAGAAUGAUGCAUUUGGCUUUGCAUAUCUUAGGAAACUUGGAGGAUGUGUGCAUCUGUGCAGCUCUUCGUGACUUUGUUCAUGUUUUUAGAAAAUGUAGCCUAUCGUACAUGUGUGUUAUCCAACCUACAAUAAAUUC